GGGAGAGGAGGAGUAGCAACAGAUCCAGGGCCUGCCCAGUCAGUGACACUGCACUCUGCUGCAGUUUGUAAGCAUCAGGACAGAUGCAGAAGAGAUGCCAUUUGGCUACCACACUACAGGAACCCAUCACGGAAGAAGUGUCCUGCACCCCAGAUCCGAUCUGGUUCACUGAAUAUGGAAUUACAUCCAUAAAAUUGAAAAAUAGAACAAAUAUAUGGUGUUGGGGGGUUGUUUUUGUGUGCUCCGGUCCGGGUGCUCCGUGACGCCGAAGCCGGCGCCUCGUAAUGACGUCAUCACUUGGAUGGAGCGGGACGCAACUGGCCGUGGGCGCCAUGGAUCACCAGACGGAGAUAAAUUGGGCUGGCAGAAGGUCCAUGGGCAUCCUAAUUGAGAUCUCCAGAUGACAAUCUCUGAAUAAAUAAUUUUCCACGAGACACAUGAUUUUCCUCCCUCCACCCAGCUGCCCACAUAACGGACAGGAUGAAAUCUGAGAGAGAAAACAGAUUUCCAAAAUUGACAGUGGCAGGGCUCAUCAUACUCCAGUUGGCUGCCUGUACUGCUUGUCAGUAAUCUAGCCUGCAACCACUCCAUCUACAGUAUGUGCAGCAUGCAGACCAUGGACUCAAUAUAGGAAUCAGUAGGCAUUCGGAAGAAGAGGGUCCUGCAAAAAGGAGAAAACUCCAUUUUAUGGGCACAUUUUCUAACCAUUGUUGCUAUAUUACAUGGACAACAAU
Pseudophryne corroboree (corroboree frog) is the source of this 734-nucleotide long non-coding RNA. RefSeq lists it as uncharacterized. The record is from RefSeq and is a predicted model, not a curated record. The transcript is spliced from 5 exons. Lineage: Eukaryota; Metazoa; Chordata; Amphibia; Anura; Myobatrachidae.